UACGUAGGGGGCGAGCGUUAUCCGGAUUUACUGGGUGUAAAGGGAGCGUAGACGGUUUUUCAAGUCUGAAGUGAAAGCCCGCGGCUCAACUGCGGAACGGCUUUGGAAACUGGGGAUCUAGAGUGUGCGAGAGGUAUGCGGAAUGCGUGGUGUAGCGGUGAAAUGCAUAGAUAUCACGCAGAACCCCGAUUGCGAAGGCGGCCUACUGGGCUUUAACUGACGCUGAGGCACGAAAGCGUGGGGAGCAAACAGG
This 253-nucleotide ribosomal RNA is filed under the name uncultured Lachnospiraceae bacterium. RNAcentral's name for it is "partial 16S ribosomal RNA". It matches the Rfam family "Bacterial small subunit ribosomal RNA", at positions 524 to 776 of the family's 1533-position model. Lineage: Bacteria; Bacillati; Bacillota; Clostridia; Lachnospirales; Lachnospiraceae. The record is from RNAcentral.